UCUCACAAGAUGUCUGGAAUGAGUGGUUUCAAAGUUGGUGAGGUCAGCAGAUCAAUGGAAGUAGGACUCUUACUUGAUUUCUUGAUUAUGCCCUCAGGUUCCCCCCCAUGGCCACAAUAUGGCUGCCACAGCUCCAGACAUCACAGCAGGAUCUAAAGCAAGAAAACCCUGUAUCAGUCUAACACCUGUUCAAGGUUAACAUGGCAGCCAGUGGAAUUGAAGCCUAGAUUUUUCUACCUUACUGACUUUAUCUACAAGGCUGAAGAUGACUCAUUAUCCGGGUUUCGAACCUGCUGUGUCCUUGUGAGGAGGAGUGGAAUGACAGCCACGGUGAGCUGACAGCUGGGAGUCACAGGUGACGGGUGAGCAGGAGCCCCGGGAGGCUCAGCCAGGAUGGGCCCUUGCCUGACCUCUGGGAGAGGCGUCGGGGAGUGGUCCAUCUGCCACCCUCCGCAGGGCAUCACCCCAGGGAUGACAGACCCUGCUGAUCGACUGGUCCCCAAGCCCCACCUGCCGGGGCCUUUCAGAUGAGGCCUUUGACCUCGCGUUCUGUCCGGGCUGCCAGACAAGGGGAGGUGCAGGGAAGGGAAGCGGGACCUAAUGGCAUGCAACCUCCGCCAGCCCAAGGCAGCCUCCCACCCGUCCCCCACCUCCGAGGUGACGUCCGUCACAGGGAGCCCUCCUUCCCUCCUUCAGGAGCUGCAGCUUUAUAGAUGUCGGACAGUGUUGCCUGCUACUUUCUAGCUUUCUCUAAGUUCUUUCGACACCCCACUGUAAGAUUUUCCGAACGAGAAUCACCCAGGACACGUGACAAAAGUACAGCUUCCAGAGCCUCGUUCCCCUUGCACUCAGACCUAGUGAGCUGAGGCGGGGCCCCGGAAUCUGCAUUUUACCAGCAAUAAAGUUGGAGAGUCACAUCGCCAUUGCGAUGAAGGGGGCAGGCUAUGGCUCAUCCCUUCUGACCUGAGUUAGACGCUGUGUGAUCUUGGGCAAAUGACUUAACCUCUCGAUGCCAUCUGAGACAAGAUGGGGACAACAGAGUACCUACCUGAGAGGGUCAUUUAACACCUGAGACCAAGCAG
Sus scrofa (pig) is the source of this 1082-nucleotide long non-coding RNA. RefSeq lists it as uncharacterized. The record is from RefSeq and is a predicted model, not a curated record. Lineage: Eukaryota; Metazoa; Chordata; Mammalia; Artiodactyla; Suidae.